GAUGAACGCUGGCGGCGUGCCUAAUACAUGCAAGUCGAGCGAACGGACGAGAAGCUUGCUUCUCUGAUGUUAGCGGCGGACGGGUGAGUAAAACGUGGAUAACAUACCUAUAAGACUGGGAUAACUUCGGGAAACCGUAGCUAAUACCGGAUAAUAUUUUGAACCGCAUGGUUCAAAAGUGAAAGACGGUCUUGCUGUCACUUAUAGAUGGAUCCGCGCUGCAUUAGCUAGUUGGUAAGGUAGCGGCUUACCAAGGCAACGAGGGUUAGCCGACCCGAGAGGGGGAUCCGCCACACUGUAGCUGAGACACGGUCCAGACUCCGACGGUAGGCAGCAGCAGGGACUCCUCCGCAAUGGGCCAGUGCCUGACGGUGCAACGUCGCGUGAGGGCUGAAGGUCCUCUGAUCCUAAAACUCUGUUAGUAGGGAAGUACAUAUGUGUAAGUAACUGGGCACAUCUUGACGGUACCUAAUCAGAAAGCCCCGGCUAACUUCGUG
RNAcentral lists this ribosomal RNA (497 nucleotides) under uncultured bacterium. RNAcentral describes it as "partial 16S ribosomal RNA". It matches the Rfam family "Bacterial small subunit ribosomal RNA", at positions 28 to 507 of the family's 1533-position model. The record is from RNAcentral.